UCUGUUUACAGCUUCUGUUUACAGAGCUAGUUAGUGUUAGCUAUCUUGUGUAAGUAACUGUAACUGGUUGAGUCUGCGUUUUACUGAUACCUUAAAUAAACACUAGGGAAGCACGGUUUGACAAGGCAGCUCAACUUGACAGAACACGGGUCAAAGCAGGCGCCGUUCACAUCGGAUUUUAUAAUAUAGAGCGAACUCUGGGGCUUCGACGUGGUGAAACUGCCCAGCACCGAUUCACCAAGACUGAGGCAAACAAGAACCCCCGGACCCUCUCCCUCCCUGCAGGUGGAUCCGUCCUACCAGAAGAAGAAGCCCCGGUCCCCUUGCCUCCCUUUUACCCCUCAGACCCUCCACACAGCAGGACUGAGAGGUAAGUACAUUUAAUAAAUGGUGAUGGGCUACCUUUCCA
RNAcentral lists this long non-coding RNA (409 nucleotides) under Astyanax mexicanus (Mexican tetra). Its description in RNAcentral is "lncRNA (ENSAMXG00005015481.1)". The record is from RNAcentral. Lineage: Eukaryota; Metazoa; Chordata; Actinopteri; Characiformes; Acestrorhamphidae.